This 547-nucleotide ribosomal RNA is filed under the name uncultured fungus. Its description in RNAcentral is "eukaryotic LSU rRNA". The stretch from base 188 to 341 matches the Rfam family "5.8S ribosomal RNA". Lineage: Eukaryota; Fungi. The record is from RNAcentral.
GUCGUAACAAGGUUUCCGUAGGUGAACCUGCGGAAGGAUCAUUACCUAGAGUUUGUGGACUUCGGUCUGCUACCUCUUACCCAUGUCUUUUGAGUACCUUCGUUUCCUCGGCGGGUCCGCCCGCCGGUUGGACAACAUUCAAACCCUUUGCAGUUGCAAUCAGCGUCUGAAAAAACUUAAUAGUUACAACUUUCAACAACGGAUCUCUUGGUUCUGGCAUCGAUGAAGAACGCAGCGAUAUGCGAUAAGUAGUGUGAAUUGCAGAAUUCAGUGAAUCAUCGAAUCUUUGAACGCACAUUGCGCCCCUUGGUAUUCCAUGGGGCAUGCCUGUUCGAGCGUCAUUUGUACCUUCAAGCUCUGCUUGGUGUUAGGUGUUUUGUCUCGCCUCCGCGCGCAGACUCGCCUUAAAACAAUUGGCAGCCGGCGUAUUGAUUUCGGAGCGCAGUACAUCUCGCGCUUUGCACUCAUAACGACGACGUCCAAAAGUACAUUUUUACACUCUUGACCUCGGAUCAGGUAGGGAUACCCGCUGAACUUAAGCAUAUCA